RNAcentral lists this long non-coding RNA (1845 nucleotides) under Triticum aestivum (bread wheat). Its description in RNAcentral is "long non-coding RNA (TAES_LNC013463)". Lineage: Eukaryota; Viridiplantae; Streptophyta; Magnoliopsida; Poales; Poaceae. The record is from RNAcentral.
UUUGGUAAGCCAGUUUUUGAAAAAAGGUGAAUUUUUCCACCACCUCCAAAUCAUCCCAAUUUUCUUGUACAUGGUGACACACAUGUGCCAAACAUGUCUAUGAAAGAAAUUUUUGGAAAAAAUUAUUUUACAAUGCCCCCUUGAGGCAUAGACCGAUGUUUUCAGCAGUCAGUCUAGAGGGCAUUAUAAAUUCAAAAACAUUCAAAAAAACACAAAACCUUGGAAACCUAGCAUUGUUUGUGCAAAAGAUCAUGUGUGCCAAAAUUGAGGUGAUUUGGAGGUGGUCGAAAAAAUGCCCGCAUUCCGGAGGGACCAUUUGGUCUAACUUAAGCCAGUUUUUGAAAAAAGGUGAAUUUUUCCACGAAGUAUGUACAUGUAAACCAACCCAACAUCGAUCCGGUUCAGUGGAUGCAUGCAUGCUCUAUGUGCCACGAAGUAUGUCGGUCGAGCCACGAAGUAUGUGGUGCACCCAAUUCCCCAAAAAGGAAGAGAGCACGUGGACGCCCGAGAAAGCUAGUCAAUCCCGAGGAAGCAGCAAAAACAAAGAGUCUUAAAGAACUAAAACUUAAAUUUGACAGCAAGACCAUAGCCAAGCAAGUGCCUUCGUUACCAUCACGGUCACGCAGAGAGCAUAAACCAGCACCAGCUUUAUUGAGCCCAUUCAAACACAAAUAGGUAGCAUCAAUUGAUCAUCAAUCUAUAAAUGCUCAUGCUCAUGCUCUACUUUUAGCAUCAUUUCAUACACGUUUAGUUCUUAUCAGAAAGUGGAAAUAGGUACUUUUGGCAAUCAUGAGCAUCCUCUACUUAUAGCAAUAUCUAAUGCAUCAACAGUACAAAGCUUGAUUUGGCAAUAGGUGGAAUCGGCAAUCAUUUGCAUGGUUUAAUUUUGUGAAGCUAUAAUCAUGCUGAGUUAUACACUAAACAUAAUCAUGCCAAGCUAUAACUACCAUAGUCAUAAACCAGGCUUUUCUUAAGCACAGGUGCUUAUUUGUACAGGGUAGACGCAUAACUAGGCGUCUCUCCUAUAGAAAUAGGCACCAGUGCUUCAGAAAAACCCUGUUUAUUUUUCUAAGCACCAUCGUACGCAUCAAGCAUUGUACAAGGCUUAUCAUGCAUCACCAAAAUAGUAUUAACAACUUGGAACACUAAACCAGAGUAGCAGCAAACUCUUAAGAUAAACGGCAUAGGUUCAGACACACCAUAGGACAUCAGUUUUAGAGUCGAACAACAAAGAAACAUAGAUAACAUAAGAGGACACGGCGGUCCUGGGGCAGCAGCAGCACUCUAGCAGCACAUCACUUCUCUCCCUUCUUCAAUGGAGGUUGUAGGGCUCAUUGACUUUGACAAUCUGUUAUUUUACAAUGGAGGUUGUAGAAAGUUUUGGAAAAAAUUAUUUUACAAUGCCCCCUUGAGGCAUAGACCGAUGUUUUCAGGAGUCAGUCUAGAGGGCAUUAUAAAUUCAAAAACAUUCAAAAAAAAUACAAAACCUUGGAAACCUAGCAUUGUUUGUGCAAGAGAUCAUGUGUGCCAAAAUUGAGGUGAUUUGGAGGUGGUCGAAAAAAUGCCCGCAUUCCGGAGGGACCAUUUGGUCUUAACUUAAGCCAGUUUUUGAAAAAAGGUGAAUUUUUCCACCACCUCCAAAUCACCCCAAUUUUCUUGUACAUGGUGACACACAUGUGCCAAACAUGUCUAUGAAAGAAAUUUUUGGAAAAAAUUAUUUUACAAUGCCCCCUUGAGGCAUAGACCGAUGUUUUCAGCAGUCAGUCUAGAGGGCAUUAUAAAUUCAAAAAAAUUCAAAAAAAUACAAAACCUUGAAAACCUAGCAUUGUUUGUGCAAGAGAUCAU